RNAcentral lists this ribosomal RNA (440 nucleotides) under uncultured bacterium. RNAcentral describes it as "bacterial SSU rRNA". It matches the Rfam family "Bacterial small subunit ribosomal RNA", at positions 338 to 795 of the family's 1533-position model. The record is from RNAcentral.
CCUACGGGGGGCUGCAGUGGGGAAUAUUGCACAAUGGGGGAAACCCUGAUGCAGCAACGCCGCGUGAGCGAUGAAGGCCUUCGGGUCGUAAAGCUCUGUCCUAAGGGAAGAAUACUGACGGUUCCUUAGGAGGAAGCCCCGGCUAACUACGUGCCAGCAGCCGCGGUAAUACGUAGGGGGCUAGCGUUAUCCGGAAUUACUGGGCGUAAAGGGUGCGUUGGUGGCCCUUCAAGUCGGAGGUGAAAGGCUACGGCUCAACCGAAGGAAGGCCUUGGAACUGUAGGUCUUGAGUGCAGGAGAGGAGAGUGGAAUUCCUAGUGGAGCGGUGAAAUGCGUGGAUAUUGGGUGGAACACAAUUUGCGAAGGCGGCUCUCUGGACUGUACCUGACGGUGAGGCACGAAUGCGUGGGGAGCGAACAGGAUUAGAUACCCCAGUAGUC